This is a long non-coding RNA of Helianthus annuus (common sunflower), 855 nucleotides long. RefSeq lists it as uncharacterized. Lineage: Eukaryota; Viridiplantae; Streptophyta; Magnoliopsida; Asterales; Asteraceae. The transcript has 2 exons. The record is from RefSeq and is a predicted model, not a curated record.
ACCAUACCAUUCCACCAACCCCUCUUUCUAUCUGCAGAUACCACUAUUUUGAUUGGUUAUACACAAUUGGGACAACAAGCUCUAAGUUUUCUUUUGGGCAUCUGCACCAUCACCGUUUAUCACUGCCGGAGCAAACUUCCACUUUGUGACUAAAAUAAGGGUGGGGAGGAGAGAGUAGAGAGGGAGGAAACGGUGGUUCUUUAACGGCGGUGUGGUGUGGCGGUGAUACUCGAAGUAGAACCCUAGCUUAACUGUAGCGUGCUUUUGUGGAGGAGGUGGUUGUAGCGGUAACGGAAGUAGUGGCCGUGGCGGUGAUGGCAUAGAUUUGGUCGGCUCAGAUGCGGUGGCUAUGGUGGAGAUGCGGUGUUCGCCGGUUUUCGUCACUGGAGACCGUCAACCGACUAAGGCCGCCGGAGAUGAAAAUCAAUUAACAAAUUCAACACUGAAGAGUUAAAACAAAUGCAGUUGGAUACUUAAACGUACUAGAUCUGACGCUGGAUCAAGCUGUGUGUGGUGACAAGUAGGAUAAAAGGAGGUGGUUGCAGGAAUUAGAUGAAGUUGAGAUAAAAGCAUUAAGAUCAAGAUCAAUAUGAAGCUCCGGUUGUGGUGGAGAUGACAUGGUAUUCGCCGGCAGUGAUGGUGAUCUCACGGUGGGGAAACGGUGGUGAUUUUUUUUCUCUUUUUCUUUGAUUUGAUAGAAUGCUGUCCGGCUAUCUCAUUGCUUUUGAAAAUCCUUCUUUUACAGUGGGCUGGUUUAAAAAAGUGGUUUCUGUAUUUAAAAGCAUUUUUAUUAGAGAUAAAUUUUAUAAGCUACACUAUUUCCUUAAACAUUGAUAUCUACAAGAUUUUAAUUUA